This 421-nucleotide ribosomal RNA is filed under the name Macrobrachium nipponense. Its description in RNAcentral is "partial 16S ribosomal RNA". It matches the Rfam family "Bacterial large subunit ribosomal RNA", at positions 1842 to 2516 of the family's 2925-position model. The record is from RNAcentral. Lineage: Eukaryota; Metazoa; Arthropoda; Malacostraca; Decapoda; Palaemonidae.
UGUAUAAGUUAUCAAGUCUAGCCUGCCCCCGGAUUGAUUUAAAGGGCCGCGGUAAUUUGACCGUGUGAAGGUAGCAUAGUCAGUAGUCUAUUAAUUGAAGGCUUGAAUGAAAGGUUGGACGAGGGAUGAGCUGUCUCCCCUACGUAAUGGGAAUUUAACUUUUGAGUGAAAAGGCUCAAAUUAUUUCCUGGGAAGAUAAGUUCCUAUUAAACUUUCUAUAAGUUUAAUUUGGCCUUCAACCUUAGUUUAAAGUAGCCUUAUUAGGUUUAUAUUUCGUUGGGGAGAUGUAGAUAUAAUGUGUAACUGUCUGUUUAAUUUAAUAAUUAUAAUUAGUGUGUGAUCCUUCUUUGUGGAUUAAAAGUAUAAGUUACUUUAGGGAUAACAGCGUGAUUUUCUUAGAGAGUUCUUAUCGACAAGUGUA